RNAcentral lists this ribosomal RNA (533 nucleotides) under Baetis sp. MK-2010. RNAcentral's name for it is "SSU rRNA". It matches the Rfam family "Eukaryotic small subunit ribosomal RNA", at positions 620 to 1119 of the family's 1831-position model. The record is from RNAcentral. Lineage: Eukaryota; Metazoa; Arthropoda; Insecta; Ephemeroptera; Baetidae. RNAcentral also lists the same sequence under 3 other names.
UAAAAAGCUCGUAGUUGGAUCUGUGUAUCGGACGGCCGGUUCGCUGCUCGCAGCGUUCAACUGGUCGGUCCGGACGUCCUGCCGGUGGGCGUCCGCGCAAGCGGGCGUCCGUACAUCCCUCCGGGCUGCUCUUAACCGGGUGGCCCGGUGGGCCGGCACGUUUACUUUGAACAAAUUUGAGUGCUCAAAGCAGGCCUUUGGUCGCCUGAAAACUGUGUGCAUGGAAUAAUGGAAUAGGGCCUCGGUUCUAUUUUGUUGGCUUUUCUGAACUUGAGGUAAUGAUUAAUAGGGACAGACGGGGGCAUUCGUAUUGCGACGUUAGAGGUGAAAUUCUUGGAUCGUCGCAAGACGAACGGAUGCGAAAGCGUUUGCCAAGAAUGUUUUCGCUAAUCAAGAACGAAAGUUAGAGGUUCGAAGGCGAUCAGAUACCGCCCUAGUUCUAACCAUAAACGAUGCCAGCCAGCGAUGCGCCGAAGUUCCUCCGAUGACUCGGCGCGCAGCUUCCGGGAAACCAAAGCUUUUGGGUUCCGGGG